AUCAAACCGUUGAAAAAGAGUAGUAGAUAAUGUGUGAACGUUAAAGAGAGCUGUCGUUGGUGAGAAUACAGCACGGGAACUUUUAUUGAAUGGACUUUUGAGGGUAUCUUUGAAGUUAGUAGGAGAUGCCGGGAUUCUAACCCGUUAUCAAGUGGACAUAUAUGAUAGUAUAUGAUAAAGUGGAUAUUCAAUGAUCAAUUUGAGUGGUACCGCGGAAGAAAUUUUCGUCUCAAGC
This 235-nucleotide non-coding RNA is filed under the name Anaerostipes sp. RNAcentral describes it as "T-box sequence". It matches the Rfam family "T-box leader". Rfam says of the family: Uncharged tRNA acts as the effector for transcription antitermination of genes in the T-box leader family. T-boxes are found upstream of many aminoacyl-tRNA synthetase genes and some amino acid biosynthetic genes usually in Gram-positive bacteria. The record is from RNAcentral. Lineage: Bacteria; Bacillati; Bacillota; Clostridia; Lachnospirales; Lachnospiraceae.